RNAcentral lists this ribosomal RNA (414 nucleotides) under uncultured bacterium. RNAcentral's name for it is "bacterial SSU rRNA". It matches the Rfam family "Bacterial small subunit ribosomal RNA", at positions 355 to 794 of the family's 1533-position model. The record is from RNAcentral.
UGGGGAAUAUUGGACAAUGGGCGCAAGCUGAUCCAGCAAUGCCGCGUGUGUGAAGAAGGCCUUCGGGUUGUAAAGCACUUUAAGCUGGGAAGCGGUACCAGAAGAAUAAGCACCGGCUAACUCUGUGCCAGCAUCCGCGGAAAUACAGAGGGUGCGAGCGUUAGUCGGAUUUACUGGGCGUAAAGCGUGUGUAGGUGGUUGUUCAAGUCGGUUGUGAAAUCCCCGGGCUCAACCUGGGAACUGCUUCCGAGACUGAGCGACUAGAGUACGGUAGAGGGCGGUGGAAUUUCCGGUGUAGCGGUGAAAUGCGUAGAUAUCGGAAGGAACACCAAUGGCGAAGGCAGCCGCCUGGGCCUGUACUGACACUGAGACACGAAAGCGUGGGGAGCAAACAGGAUUAGAUACCCGGGUAGU